This is a long non-coding RNA of Nomascus leucogenys (northern white-cheeked gibbon), 335 nucleotides long. RefSeq lists it as uncharacterized. Lineage: Eukaryota; Metazoa; Chordata; Mammalia; Primates; Hylobatidae. The record is from RefSeq and is a predicted model, not a curated record. The transcript is spliced from 4 exons.
UAAGAAGAAAAAGAGCAAAGAUAAGAGAAAAAGAGAAGAUGAAGAAACCCAGCUUGAUAUUGUUGGAAUCUGGUGGACAGUAGCAAACUUUGGUGAAAUUUCGGGAACCAUAGCCAUUGAAAUGGAUGAGGGAACCUAUAUACAUGCACUCGACAACGGUCUUUUUACCUUGGGAGCUCCACACAAAGAAGAUGUUUUUUCUCCAAUAGUUGAUGAGUCCUCCAGAGCAGUUUAUGGCUGUCAAAUUAUCUGAUUCCAGAAUCGCCCUGAAAUCUGGCUAUGGACAAUAUCUUGGUAUAAAUUCAGAUGAACUUGUUGGGCGUUUAGAUGCAAUU